AUUAGCGGCCAUAGCGAAGGGGAAACACCUGGACUCAUCCCGAACCCAGAAGUUAAGACCUUCAGCGAUUAGGUUUGCACUGCUUUUUUAAGUGGAGCGCCCUUGACGCUGCUAAUC
RNAcentral lists this ribosomal RNA (117 nucleotides) under archaeon. RNAcentral also lists the same sequence under 1 other name. The record is from RNAcentral.